Molecule: small RNA, 2022 nt
Filed under: Pongo abelii (Sumatran orangutan)
Lineage: Eukaryota; Metazoa; Chordata; Mammalia; Primates; Hominidae
Description: retained intron
Source: RNAcentral
GCCCGCAGGGAGAUUUAUGACAAAUUCCAGUUUUCAACAAUGCUGAAAUCAAAUGAUUGCUUGUUUUCUUUGGAAAAUUUGUGUUUUGAAAAACCAGAUGAAGUUGAAAACCAUCCAGACAACGAAAAGUCAUUGGAUUGGUUUCUCCCUCCUGCUCCAUUGAUUUCAGAAAUUCCAGUUACUCAGGAGUUAGAGGAAGAAUUAGAAAGUCAUAAACUGUUAGGUCAGGAAAAGAGGCCAAAAAUGUUAACAUCAAAUUUAAAGAUAACUAAUGAAGACACAAAUUAUAUUUCACCAACACAAAAAUUCCAAUUUGCCUUUUCUUCUGAUAAAUAUGAACAGGAUGAUCUAAAUUUAGAAGGGGUAGGUAACAAUGACUUAUCACAUGUUGCUGGCAAGCUGACAUAUGCUUCUCAGAAAUAUAAAAAUCACAUUGGCACUGAGAUAGCACCUGAGAAGAGUGUUCCUGAUGAUACAAAAUUAGUUAAUUUUGCAGAAGAUAAAGGAGCGAGCACAUCAGUAUUCCGGAAAAGAUUAUUUAAAAUAUCUGACAAUAUACAUGGGAGUGCUUAUUCUAAUGACAGUGAAUUGGACUCUCACAUUGGCUCAGUGAAAAUUGUACAAACAGAAAUGAACAAAGGGAAAUCAAGGAACUAUAGCAAUAGUAAGCGGAAAUUUCAAUAUUCUGCAAAUGUGUUUACAGCAAAUAAUGCUUUUUCUGCUUCUGAAAUCGGAGAAUGCAUGUUCAAAGCACCAUCUUUUUCAGUUGCUUUCCAGCCUCAUGAUAUUCAAGAGGUAACAGAAGAUGGUUUAGGUUCCUUGAAGGCUGUCACAGAAAUUCCGGCAAAAUUUAGAAGUAUUUUCAAAGAAUUUCCAUAUUUCAACUAUAUACAGUCCAAGGCCUUUGAUGAUCUUCUUUACACAGAUAGGAAUUUUGUGAUUUGUGCUCCAACUGGUUCUGGAAAAACUGUAGUGUUUGAACUAGCUAUAACAAGAUUGUUAAUGGAAGUACCAUUGCCAUGGUUGAAUAUUAAAAUUGUUUACAUGGCACCAAUAAAAGCCUUGUGCAGUCAGCGUUUUGAUGACUGGAAAGAGAAAUUUGGACCAAUAGGAUUGAAUUGUAAAGAACUUACUGGAGAUACAGUAAUGGACGAUCUAUUUGAGAUUCAGCAUGCCCAUAUUAUUAUGACAACUCCAGUAGGAAAAAUGGGAUAGCAUGACUAGGAAAUGGAGAGACAACUCUUUGGUUCAACUGGUUCGACUGUUUCUCAUUGAUGAGGUACAUAUUGUAAAAGAUGAAAAUCGUGGUCCAACUCUUGAAGUUGUAGUUAGCAGAAUGAAAACUGUACAGUCUGUUUCUCAGACUUUAAAAAAUACCAGCACUGCUAUUCCAAUGCGAUUUGUAGCUGUAUCUGCAACAAUUCCAAAUGCUGAGGAUGUGAGUUACAAUUUUAACUAAGCUCUUAGGUUUUUUAUGACUUGUGAAAUAUUUAGUCCUCUUGAUCUUAGAGAAAAGUGAAUUUUUUUGUCCUUUCCUUUAAUAGGAAAGUAUGUUGUAGAAAGUUGUGGCUAGAUCUCAUAAAUAUGACAGUAUUAAGGCCAUAAAAUUUGGUUAAUCAGGUUUAAUAAAAUAUUUUUUGUGGACAUGUGGACAUCUCUUGUUUGCUAGUAUCUAACAGUCUUAGUUUCCUGGGUUUCAGGUGCCUUAUAAUAACUUCACUAACAAUAUGUGAUGGUUGUUGUAACUAGCUGACUCUAAUUGUAUAGCGAAGUACGGUGGAGAAUAAAAAUAAUCGCUUAGAUGAUUACCACUUGCUCCUCAAUUCUGUAUGCUUGGCAUUGUGGUAAGCACUAAAUAUAGACGCAAAAGUGAAAAUAUAUGGACUCCGUCCUUGAGGAGGAUCUCAUGGUUAAUGGGGUACAUGGACAUGUAAAGAAAUAAUCAUGUGCACUAUUAUACUUUCCAUAAUGAAUAUAUGACUUAAUUUUUUCUUCAAUUUUUAAGUAAACGUCUUGAAAAAU